GAUCCUCGGCUACAGGACGAACGGCUGGCGGCGUGCCUAACACAUAGCAAGUCGAACGAAGCUUGAUGAUGGAUUCUUCGGAAGAAAUCUGAUAUGACUGAGUGGCGGACGGGUGAGUAACGCGUGAGUAACCUGCCCUUAGAAAGGGAUAGCGUACUGGAAACGGACGGUAAUACCAUAUAAAGUAUAUUAACGGCAUCGUAGAUAUACCAAAGCUGAGGCGCCUAAGGAUGGACUCGCGUCUGAUUAGAUAGUUGGUGGGGUAACGGCCUACCAAGUCGACGAUCAGUAGCCGGACUGAGAGGUUGAACGGCCACAUUGGGACUGAGACACGGCCCAGACUCCUACGGGAGGCAGCAGUGGGGAAUAUUGCACAAUGGGCGAAAACCUGAUGCAGCAACGCCGCGUGAAGGAAGACGGUUUUCGGAUUGUAAACUUCUGUUCUUAGUGAAGAAUAAUGACGGUAACUAAGGAGCAAGCCACGGCUAACUACGUG
Molecule: ribosomal RNA, 496 nt
Filed under: uncultured Oscillospiraceae bacterium
Lineage: Bacteria; Bacillati; Bacillota; Clostridia; Eubacteriales; Oscillospiraceae
Description: bacterial SSU rRNA
Rfam family: Bacterial small subunit ribosomal RNA
Source: RNAcentral